GCGGGUGCGGGAGCGCCCCGCCUGCGGCCCGGGGUCCCGGGGUCCGGGAGUCCCGGAGCGCGGCCCCCGCAGCAGGUCGCCCGGAGCCGGCGGCUGCCCCUGAGCUGGAGGAAGAUGCUGGACUUGGGGAUUUCGCACGCCAUGACGUAUUCAUGCCUCUGUCCUCCGGGUCCCGGGCUGGAUGGGCGGCUCCGGGAGAGGGGGCCCGGGGCGGGGCUGGGCGGUGAGUCCUGCCGCCGUCCACCGUCCGCCGUCCGCUGUCCGCUGUCCGCCAUCCGCCGGGGAAUGUCCCUCCCCGGAGGGAGGCGCGCCCCCGCCCGCGCCCGAGUUAAACAGAAGAGGAAUAAUUUAAUAGCAAGCAUUUUGAGAUUUCAAAACAAUACUUGAGAUAUUCUAUUUUCAGAAGUACAAAUCUGCAGUGCAAUCAGAUUCAAGGAUUUGGAUGACUAAAGUAGAUGAUCAGUCAUAAAGAGUCCCAAAAUAAUCAGUAUGCGAGCCAGUGGAUUGACAUUCUUGGAUCCGGUCUAAACAUUCUGAUGAACAGUUCCACAGCAGAUAUGUCAGCAUGACUUCUUGUUCAAUGGUUUUAUUUGGAUUGCCUUCCAGGAUUCCCAGGACUGUGUUAAGCAGAGCAAUUAUAAUAGUUUAAAGAGUAGGAGCAAGAAACAACCCACAUGUAAUAAAAUAUGAAGAAAAAGAGGACACCUGGAACAUGCCUGUGCUGGCUUUUCUGCAGCGAGAUGGAGACCAUUCGUCAGCCUCUGUGAGCCCGCAGCCUCCCCUCAGUGCCUGGCGUGGGCAGCUAUGCGGUCAGCGAGUGGGAUGCAAGCUUAUCCAUAAAGUAAGGACGUGAGCGUGAGAGGAAAAGGACAGAUCUGAAUGGAAGGACAACGGGGGAGAGAGAACUCCGGUCAACAAGCCUGGGAGGUGUGGAGUGAUGGAGACGGCAGCACAGUACCUCCCACCCCCACCCCGAUGUUUGCUCGGCCUCUUGAAGAUGAUUGCUUGUAUUUCUGCCUCAGAGCUUCCCAUGAACUUCCCUGAUACAUGAAGUGAAAAGAAAGACUGCGGGAGCUGAUCAGAGAGCGUAAUAAACACAGCGGGUGCCCGUGUUCCUGCCCCGGAGGCUCACGCCUGUGGAAUGUGUCAGAUUUGAAACUGGCACGUGGAGCCAGCGCCAGGCGUGCCCCCCCCCCCCCAGCAGAACAUCUGAUUAAACACAAGGGGAACUGUACUGCUUUCGUUCAGCCUGUUCUCUGCUGACACAAACCAUUCUCUGAUAUCAAAUGGAAACGAGCGGAAUUAGCAUGGGAAGGGCCAUUCUUGCUGUCUGGUUUUUAUUCUCAGUAUCCCCACAUUUCCUGGUCCUUUGUAAAUUCAUUUUCUUUUAAUACCCAAAUGUAAUAGCCUGAAUCCUCGCUCUGCGUGACUGAGAAAACCAGUCCCCUCCGGAUAUUUCUAAAGAGGUUGCCAAGCACUUACACGCCCCAAGUGUUGCUUCUCACGUACCCCCAGCCUCCCACCCCGUGGCACCUUCCCCGGCUCUGCCUAUAGCUGUCUCCUCACUCUUUCUCAUUCUACUCCUCCUUCUGCUCUGCUCCAACCCCAGUGUGAACACUGGCCCUUCCUCUGUUCUCCCCACUUAACUCCCUAACUGAGCUGGUGUGUGUGGAGGCAGGGGUGAGAGUCUAAAUAUUUAACAACUGCA
Long non-coding RNA from Myotis lucifugus (little brown bat), 1708 nucleotides. RefSeq lists it as uncharacterized. The record is from RefSeq and is a predicted model, not a curated record. Lineage: Eukaryota; Metazoa; Chordata; Mammalia; Chiroptera; Vespertilionidae. The transcript is spliced from 5 exons.